GAUGAACGCUAGCGGCAGGCCUAAUACAUGCAAGUCGAGGGGUAGAAGAGGCUUGCUUCUUUGAGACCGGCGCACGGGUGCGUAACGCGUAUGCAACCUACCUUCAUCUGGGGGAUAGCCCGGAGAAAUCCGGAUUAAUACCGCAUAAAAUCACAGGAUGGCAUUAUCCAAUGAUCAAACAUUUAUGGGAUGGAGAUGGGCAUGCGUGUCAUUAGCUAGUUGGCGGGGUAACGGCCCACCAAGGCGACGAUGACUAGGGGAUCUGAGAGGAUGGCCCCCAACACUGAGACUGAGUCACGGACCAGACUCCUACGGGAGGAAGCAGUAAGGAAUAUUGUUCAAUGGAGGCAACUCUGAACCAGCCAUGCCGCGUGCAGGAAGACUGCCCUAUGGGUUGUAAACUGCUUUUAUUCGGGAAUAAACCUUAGUACGUGUAAUAAGCUGAAUGUACCGAAGGAAUAAGGAUCGGCUAACUCCGUGCCAGCCGCCGCCGUAA
Molecule: ribosomal RNA, 496 nt
Filed under: uncultured bacterium
Lineage: Bacteria
Description: partial 16S ribosomal RNA
Rfam family: Bacterial small subunit ribosomal RNA
Source: RNAcentral